This 367-nucleotide ribosomal RNA is filed under the name uncultured bacterium. RNAcentral describes it as "partial 16S ribosomal RNA". It matches the Rfam family "Bacterial small subunit ribosomal RNA", at positions 338 to 722 of the family's 1533-position model. The record is from RNAcentral.
CCUACGGGAGGCAGCAGUCGGGAAUCAUUCACAAUGGGGGAAACACUGAUGCAGCAACGCCGCGUGAGUGAUGACGGCCUUCGGGUUGUAAAGCUCUGUCUGCAGGGACGAUAAUGACGGUACCUGUGGAGGAAGCCACGGCUAACUACGUGCCAGCAGCCGCGGUAAUCCGUAGGUGGCGAGCGUUGUCCGGAUUUACUGGGCGUAAAGGGGGCGUAGGCGGUCUUUUAAGUGAGAUGUGAAAUACUCGGGCUCAACUUGAGUGCUGCAUUUCAAACUGGAAGUCUAGAGUGCAAGAGAGGAGUAUGGAAUUCGUAGUGUAGCGGUGAAAUGCGUAGAGAUUAGGAAGAACACCAGUUGCGAAGGC